UCACCAGACUCCUACGGGAGGCAGCAGUGAGGAAUAUUGGUCAAUGGGCUUACGCCUGAACCAGCCAAGUCGCGUGAGGGAAGACUGCCCUAUGGGUUGUAAACCUCUUUUGUCAGGGAGCAACGCCGGCUACGUGUAGCCGGACUGAGAGUACCUGAAGAAAAAGCAUCGGCUAACUCCGUGCCAGCAGCCGCGGUAAUACGGAGGAUGCGAGCGUUAUCCGGAUUUAUUGGGUUUAAAGGGUGCGUAGGCGGAAUGCCAAGUCAGCGGUAAAAUCGCGGGGCUCAACCUCGCUCCGCCGUUGAAACUGGCGUUCUUGAGUGGGCGAGAAGUACGCGGAAUGCGCGGUGUAGCGGUGAAAUGCAUAGAUAUCGCGCAGAACUCCGAUUGCGAAGGCAGCGUACCGGCGCCAGACUGACGCUGAGGCACGAAAGCGUGGGGAUCGAACAGGAUUAGAUACCCUCGUAC
RNAcentral lists this ribosomal RNA (468 nucleotides) under uncultured bacterium. RNAcentral describes it as "bacterial SSU rRNA". It matches the Rfam family "Bacterial small subunit ribosomal RNA", at positions 328 to 793 of the family's 1533-position model. The record is from RNAcentral.